GACGAACGCUGGCGGCGUGCUUAACACAUGCAAGUCGAACGGAAAGUCCCUGCUUUUGUGGGGUGCUCGAGUGGCGAACGGGUGAGUAACACGUUUGUAACCAGCCCUUUCCUUUGGGAUAACUUCAGGAAACUGGGGCUAAUACCGGAUAGGAGCUCCUGCUGCAGGGUGGGGGUUGGAAAGUUUCGGCGGUUGGGGAUGGACUCGCGGCUUAUCAGCUUGUUGGUGGGGUAGUGGCUUACCAAGGCUUUGACGGGUAGCCGGCCUGAGAGGGUGACCGGCCACAUUGGGACUGAGAUACGGCCCAGCCUACUACGGGAGGCAGCAGUGGGGAAUAGUGCACAAUGGGCGGAAGCCUGAUGCAGCAACGCCGCGUGCGGGAUGACGGCCUUCGGGUUGUAAACCGCUGUCGCCUGUGACGAAGCGUGAGUGACGGUAAUGGGUAAAGAAGCACCGGCUAACUACGUG
RNAcentral lists this ribosomal RNA (468 nucleotides) under uncultured bacterium. Its description in RNAcentral is "partial 16S ribosomal RNA". It matches the Rfam family "Bacterial small subunit ribosomal RNA", at positions 28 to 507 of the family's 1533-position model. The record is from RNAcentral.